Dromaius novaehollandiae (emu) is the source of this 1940-nucleotide RNA transcript. It is a transcript of the gene named yrdC N6-threonylcarbamoyltransferase domain containing, with no coding region annotated. The transcript has 9 exons. The record is from RefSeq and is a predicted model, not a curated record. Lineage: Eukaryota; Metazoa; Chordata; Aves; Casuariiformes; Dromaiidae.
CGCGGCCGGAAGUGCUUUUCCGCCGGAAGCGGAAGCCGCCCUCCCAUGCUGCGCGCGCGGCGGGCGGCGGUGGCGGCGCUGGCUCGGGUGGCGGAGGCGCUGCCGGGGCGCCCCUGCGGCUCCCGCCUGCGGCUCCCCGGCGGCGCGGCGGAGCCGGAGCCGGACCCGCGAGGCUGGCGGGAGGCGGUGGCGGCCGCCGUCAGCGCCCUGCAGGCGGGCGGGCUGGUGGCGGUGCCCACGGACACGGUGUACGGCGUGGCCUGCCUGGCCCAGGACCCCGGCGCCGUACGGAGCAUCUACAGCCUGAAGGGGCGGAACGGGAGCAAGCCGCUGGCCAUCUGCCUCGGGGACGUGGACCACAUCUACAGAUACUGCCAUGUGAACGUGCCGGAUGAGCUGCUGCGGGACCUGCUUCCAGGACCUGUGACCCUGGUCUUAAAGCGUUCAGAAGAACUAAAUAAAGACUUGAAUCCUUUCACAUCGCUGGUUGGUGUUCGUAUUCCAAACCACCCGUUUAUUAGGGAGCUGGCACGAGCUUGCUCUGGACCACUGGCUUUAACGAGUGCAAACAUCAGCUCUCAGGCAAGCACGCUGACAGUUUUGGAAUUCCAAGACCUUUGGCCUCAGUUGUCCUUAAUCAUUGAUGGAGGCCCAGUAGGGGAUGUCCAGAGCCCAGAAUGUCGCCUAGGGUCAACUGUGAUUGACUUAUCGGUAUCGGGGAAAUUCAGCAUCAUUCGCCCUGGCUGUGCGCUGACAUCUACAGUUGAAAUCCUGAGGCAGAAGUAUGGCUUGAUACCAGAAUCAUCUUGAGACUUCAGAUUCUGAGGAAGCUCUGCAGAGCUGUAACUGGAGGAGGAGGAGGGCCCAAACAACAGGCAGGAGCCUCACCUUUAUGGCGUAUCUGUGUGCAGCAUCCAGUAUAAAUGGCACAAGGCUGUCAGAUGGCUCCCCGUUCUCAUCUGCUAGGCCGGAAGACAGCGUUUGAGCCCUGGGUAGGAGACCCUCCACAAUACGGUCUGAACUCCUGGCUCCGAGACGGCUGCAGGCGCCUCUAUAACCGGCAGCAGUAUGGGGGAUGAGUGCCGGCUGAAUCCUGCAGCUGGGAGCAGGGAGAGGCGCUGUGCCCGGGGCGCGCUGUGGGGCGCUGCUUGUCUGAGCUGGUACUCGACGACGCAGGUAAUAGCUCAGCUUGGAGAAUUGCACUUUUUCUGGGCCUGGCUGGUCCCCGCUCCUCGCAGAUGUUGGACCUGGAGCCCUGCGCCGUCCCGCGGCUGCGGCAGCGCCGGGAGCAGCCCCGGGAAGCGGCCGAGCGCCCACGGACGGAGCUGGCCCGGCCCCGGGGAGGCCUCCUCGCCCUGCGGAGGGGGCCUGGGGCUGCUGCGGUGCUCCGGGGCGCCCGGCAGCAGUGACCGCGGGAGCAUCCCCUGCCGUGACACCGGCCCCGGGGGACCGUUCCCCCGCCGGGAUGCUGCCCUGGGGGACCGCUCCCUGCCGGGAUGCUGGUCUGACCCAGGGGACCGUCCCCUGCCAGGAUGCUGCCCUGGGGCACCGUCCCCUGCCGGGAUGCUGGUCUGACCCAGGGGACCGUCCCCUGCCAGGAUGCUGCCCUGGGGGACCGCUCCCUGCCGGGAUGCUGGUCUGACGCACGGCAGCCUCCCCCGCCGGGAUGCUGCCCUGCAGGGACCGUCCCCCGCUGUGCCCCUGCCCCGCGUCCCCCGGUGCCGCUCGCUCGGCCGUGCUGCACGGGCUGUCCCUGGUGAUAAGCCGAUCCUGAUAACCAGUAAAUCCAAUAGACUCAGUUCAAAAAGCUGCUCCCUUUCCUUCACCUCAGCAGUAGCUUUUCAGUCAUUCCCUCUUGCCAAAGAAAAAUUCAUGAGAUCAUUUCCCCAAAACAACACGAUACUUCAGAAUCGUAAUUAAAAUACUUCUGGCUGCUCUAA